ACAUGAAACCAAGCAUAAAGGAGAGUCUGACAGUGCAUCAUUUAACCCCAGGAAGUUGCCAUCUUUCAGGCUGUAAUCAGCAGUGAACAUGCUCUUUUAUGAUCAGUCUAAGAUGGAUUAAUGUAAGGAAGAAGACAUUCUCGGAUGUUCUGGCUCUAGUAAUAGAGACAUAAAUAGGAUAAGAAAUAUCCCAAAGGAGUCGAAUGUCUACUUACAUUGACUUGGAUAGGAAAUGCCUGAAGGAGGAGUCCAAAAAUGGCCACUAGGCCAGACUGAAAUGUCAAGGUGUUUGCCAUCAAUCUCAGAGCUUUUGGGUGCAUACUCUGCAUCUUAAUUAGAUAUUACAUAAGCUAAAUAAAUAUAUUUCUAUUUGUCA
Long non-coding RNA from Xenopus tropicalis (tropical clawed frog), 376 nucleotides. RefSeq lists it as uncharacterized. The transcript is spliced from 2 exons. Lineage: Eukaryota; Metazoa; Chordata; Amphibia; Anura; Pipidae. The record is from RefSeq and is a predicted model, not a curated record.